UCGUAACAAGGUUUCCGUAGGUGAACCUGCGGAAGGAUCAUUACUGUGAUUUACUACUACACUGCGUGAGCGGAACGAAAACAACAACACCUAAAAUGUGGAAUAUAGCAUAUAGUCGACAAGAGAAAUCUACGAAAAAACAAACAAAACUUUCAACAACGGAUCUCUUGGUUCUCGCAUCGAUGAAGAGCGCAGCGAAAUGCGAUACCUAGUGUGAAUUGCAGCCAUCGUGAAUCAUCGAGUUCUUGAACGCACAUUGCGCCCCUCGGCAUUCCGGGGGGCAUGCCUGUUUGAGCGUCGUUUCCAUCUUGCGCGUGCGCAGAGUUGGGGGAGCGGAGCGGACGACGUGUAAAGAGCGUCGGAGCUGCGACUCGCCUGAAAGGGAGCGAAGCUGGCCGAGCGAACUAGACUUUUUUUCAGGGACGCUUGGCGGCCGAGAGCGAGUGUUGCGAGACAACAAAAAGCUCGACCUCAAAUCAGGUAGGAAUACCCGCUGAACUUAAGCAUAUCA
This 511-nucleotide unclassified non-coding RNA is filed under the name Pichia kudriavzevii. Its description in RNAcentral is "sequence contains 18S rRNA gene, ITS1, 5.8S rRNA gene, ITS2, 28S rRNA gene". The stretch from base 148 to 300 matches the Rfam family "5.8S ribosomal RNA". The record is from RNAcentral. Lineage: Eukaryota; Fungi; Ascomycota; Pichiomycetes; Pichiales; Pichiaceae.